RNAcentral lists this ribosomal RNA (468 nucleotides) under uncultured bacterium. Its description in RNAcentral is "partial 16S ribosomal RNA". It matches the Rfam family "Bacterial small subunit ribosomal RNA", at positions 28 to 507 of the family's 1533-position model. The record is from RNAcentral.
GACGAACGCUGGCGGCGUGCUUAACACAUGCAAGUCGAACGGAAAGGCCCUGCUUUUGUUGGGUGCUCGAGUGGCGAACGGGUGAGUAACACGUGAGUAACCUGCCCUUGACUUUGGGAUAACUUCAGGAAACUGGGGCUAAUACCGGAUAGUAGCUCCUGCUGCAUGGUGGGGGUUGGAAAGUUUCGGCGGUUGGGGAUGGACUCGCGGCUUAUCAGCUUGUUGGUGGGGUAGUGGCUUACCAAGGCUUUGACGGGUAGCCGGCCUGAGAGGGUGACCGGCCACAUUGGGACUGAGAUACGACCCAGACUCCUACGGGAGGCAGCAGUGGGGAAUAUUGCACAAUGGGCGGAAGCCUGAUGCAGCAACGCCGCGUGCGGGAUGACGGCCUUCGGGUUGUAAACCGCUUUCGCCUGUGACGAAGCGUGAGUGACGGUAAUAGGUAAAGAAGCACCGGCUAACUACGUG